UGUGCGGCUCCGUGUCACAGCUCUCAGCUGCCACCUGUACGGCAUUAUCCAUGCUGUCACGGCCCUCAGCUCCCACCUGUACGCCAUUACCCUCGGCUGCGCCGCCCACUGCAGCCAUCUUCUUCUUCCUUCCUCGCUAAGCUCCUGCUACUAUCCUUUCCCUGUUCCUCUUCGUGUUGUUGGUAGUUUUGACGGACCCUUUUUCUUCAUCGUAAUCCUUCUUUCCUGGAUUCACUCGCCUGCUCUUUGCUAUGCUGGUCGUCGUGUUGGUGUUCAUUCAGGCGAGAUUAUCAAUUUAAGAUUUUACGGCUCUUCAUUGCCUGCCAAUAUUAUUCUAUCAUGGUUGUUAUGAGCUAUGAUUCUUCUUUCCCUUCUCUGACUAUGCCUGCUCCUUCCGUCUGUGGAUAGCCUCUAUAAACACGGAACGAAUGCUGUCGUUUUCUUUUAGUUGUGAUGUAUGCAUGUCAAUCCUAUCUAUAUUGUACCAUUAGCUGGCCUGUGCUUAUUUCGUGACUGUUGUUGCCUAUGCUCUUAGUCUUAGAGUAUGAUUUGUUCAUUGUCUGUGCUCAUGUUUUUUUAUGUUGCAUGUGCUCGGUUGUAAAGACUUUGUUUUGCCAUUUCAUCAUUAUCCUGUCCAUUUUUUGCCUGCAAUAGCCGUGUCCUUUCUAAAUUAUUUGGAUGUGCUCUGUUUUUGCUGUUAGUGCUUUCACAAUUCAAUUUACUGCAGGCCCUUCGUACUAGAAUAUUGUUUUUGUGCACUUACCUUUUUGGGGGGUUGUUAUUCAUGCUAUUCUGCCUUUACGUUACUAUUGUUGUUGGCGUCGACUUUAGCUACAAUGUUGAUUUGCUUAAUUGCUUCAGUAUAACAUCUUUCUUUCAGUGCAUCUUUCUCCCUGUGUGGGUUCCAUACCUGUCUUGGAUUCUAUUUCAAUGCCUUCUAGAAGGCCAAAAUAUGACCUGCCAACUGCGUCCGGGUCGUCUUCUACAUCAGGCCAUCCUGUGCUUUGUCUGUUCAUCCUAUAUGUCGUAGUGCUCGACGAAGUGGUCAUGGUCAUUAUAGGCAUCAUGUGCGCGCUGGUUUACUGAAGGCCGGCCAACUGCAUUCUUGAGUGCAGGUGUGUGCUUACUUAAGGAUCAUCUUGGUUCAGUUUGACUCAUUUUGUGUGCUGUCGUUGCUAAAAAGCCACUCAGGCGCACUGCCACCUGUUCUAAUAAAACCUUACCUAAAUAUAUGUGCACCUCUGUUCACUGUUGCCUGCUAUAGACGCUUUCAUUUUAACUAAACAUUGGGUUGCUAAUUUCUGUUUUACCAUAUAUGUUGUCUGACCUGGUAGGAUAAUUAUGCUUAUGACUAAUCUUUUAUCCUUCUUUUUAUCUUCUCCGUUGUUAUUUCUUUACCUCACAAAUAUUUACUCACACUACUGU
Molecule: long non-coding RNA, 1425 nt
Organism: Panicum virgatum (switchgrass)
Lineage: Eukaryota; Viridiplantae; Streptophyta; Magnoliopsida; Poales; Poaceae
Exons: 3
Source: RefSeq, a predicted model, not a curated record